AGACAUUUUUCCUGCCAAAGACAAAUUAAUAUGUCAUCAGGAGAGGUUUGUGACACCAAGGUCAGGUCAGUCUGGAGCAUAUAUCUUGGAGUUGUCUUUGGCAGCAAUAACAACAGCUUUGUGGAUUCCCAGCCUGGAGUUAUUCAGGCAUUCAUAUAACUGCUUAAGUUACAGAAAAGCCUUUGUUGGCACUAGCUACAGAACCUGGCACAGUUUGGAAACUAUAUUGCCCAUAUGUGCUUUCUGGGUCCCAGAUCUAUGGAAUAGAGGAAUGCUUCUGACAAAUUUCAUGGGAACAGGGAUCCUGUUUGCAGUCCCAAGGCAAAAGGGAGCCUUUGUGGCUAUAGACAAGCAAAGGCAAUCAAGUAAAACUUCUAGGGCAGAGUGGUUGUGACUAUAGGAGAACAGGACACCUGGUCACAGUACUAAGGACAAGAAAAGUUCUUCACUUGGACCUGCUGGAGAACAGGGACGCUUCCUGGAUAAAGUAUAGAGCACAGAUGAGGGGAAGAGAGAUCACACCUCUCCCCAAAUCACACCAUCUUAUUUCAACUAGAGAGUUCUCAGUAUUCAGAAUGCACAGAAUAUCCCAUGCAAGAUUCUGCAUGAAGAGUGGGGUUGAAAGACCUUCAGCCACAGGAGAAACAUAAAGUAAAAUCAGUGAUCAAUCAGGUGUUCUUCAGCCACCAGAGUCAACCUGGAGAUUGGAAAAAGAAUUGUCACUUCAUGUAUAAGAGCUGGAGAAUUAACAUGUUGUCCAGGACUCUCUCCACUGAACAAGACCAUCCUGUAGAAGAAAGGAAGGAAGGUUGGAAGGAAGGAAGGUUGGAAGGAAGGAAGGAAGGAAGGAAGGAAGGAAGGAAGGAAGGAAGGAAGGAAGGAAGAGAGGGAGGGAAGAAUGGAAGGAGGGAAAGGGACGGGAGAGAUAAAAAUCUCCUGAGAUAGUUGUUUGUUUUGUUUGUUAUUAGAAUAGGAAAAAAAAGCCUAAAAAGAGACUCUCAGAUUAUUCCCUUCCCUUUCAAUAUAAGGAAAGGGAAGGGGGAAAAUUAAAUGAUUUUUCCAAGAUGAAACCGUUAAUGUGUCCUGACAGUUAAUAUAGGUUCCUUUCAAUAUGAUGCAUUACUUCUAUAAUAUACUAUUUUACUUUGUUUAUUUUAAAC
This 1160-nucleotide long non-coding RNA is filed under the name Monodelphis domestica (gray short-tailed opossum). RNAcentral describes it as "lncRNA (ENSMODG00000030939.2)". Lineage: Eukaryota; Metazoa; Chordata; Mammalia; Didelphimorphia; Didelphidae. The record is from RNAcentral.